UGCCGAAGUGGCGGAAUAGGCAGACGCGCCAGACUCAAAAUCUGGUUCCUUCACGGGAGUGCCGGUUCGACCCCGGCCUUCGGCAU
This 86-nucleotide transfer RNA is filed under the name Lactococcus garvieae. Its description in RNAcentral is "tRNA-Leu". It matches the Rfam family "tRNA". From Rfam's summary of the family: Transfer RNA (tRNA) molecules are approximately 80 nucleotides in length. Their secondary structure includes four short double-helical elements and three loops (D, anti-codon, and T loops). The record is from RNAcentral. RNAcentral also lists the same sequence under 2 other names. Lineage: Bacteria; Bacillati; Bacillota; Bacilli; Lactobacillales; Streptococcaceae.